GUCUACGGCCAUACCACCCUGAACACGCCCGAUCUCAUCUGAUCUCGGAAGAAAAUGGGGAGUCAUACAGCAAACAGAUCAAAUUGAGGUUCUUUGGGUUGAAGGGU
This 107-nucleotide ribosomal RNA is filed under the name Erinaceus europaeus (western European hedgehog). Lineage: Eukaryota; Metazoa; Chordata; Mammalia; Eulipotyphla; Erinaceidae. The record is from RNAcentral.